AGAGAUAGAGGAGUGCUCGAAAGAGGAGCCGUAACACAGGUGCUGCAUGGCUGUCGUCAGCUCGUGUCGUGAGAUGUUGGGUUAAGUCCCGCAACGAGCGCAACCCUUGUCAUUAGUUGCUACAUUCAGUUGGGCACUCUAAUGAGACUGCCGGUGACAAACCGGAGGAAGGUGGGGAUGACGUCAAGUCCUCAUGGCCCUUAUAGGUGGGGCUACACACGUCAUACAAUGGAUGGUACAAAGGGUCGCCAACCCGCGAGGGGGAGCCAAUCCCAUAAAGCCAUUCGUAGUCCGGAUCGCAGUCUGCAACUCGACUGCGUGAAGUCGGAAUCGCUAGUAAUCGCGGAUCAGCAUGUCGCGGUGAAUACGUUCCCGGGUCUU
This 381-nucleotide ribosomal RNA is filed under the name uncultured Acidovorax sp. RNAcentral describes it as "bacterial SSU rRNA". It matches the Rfam family "Bacterial small subunit ribosomal RNA", at positions 1002 to 1382 of the family's 1533-position model. Lineage: Bacteria; Pseudomonadati; Pseudomonadota; Betaproteobacteria; Burkholderiales; Comamonadaceae. The record is from RNAcentral.